Long non-coding RNA from Talpa occidentalis (Iberian mole), 22852 nucleotides. RefSeq lists it as uncharacterized. The record is from RefSeq and is a predicted model, not a curated record. The transcript is spliced from 3 exons. Lineage: Eukaryota; Metazoa; Chordata; Mammalia; Eulipotyphla; Talpidae.
UGGGGGGGGCGGGGUAAAGGGGGGCCACAUAGUAUAGAGGAAGCCUUCCUAAUUUCUGAUUUGUGCUGCCACCCUCCUCUUCUUUAAAACCCCCUCCUCCCUUGUGUUAUUAGCAUCUUCAGGUGUCAUUCUUGCCAGAAGGUGUUCUUGCGAGAGAUCAGGGUGGCAGGCUGCAGAACCAGCUAGCAAAUCCGUAACUUGCUGUUCUUGCAAAUUAUAUAACCACUGGGGCAUUCAGUCCCACCAGCCCUCUAGACUCAGCAAGAGGGGGAAAGGGACAAAGUAGGAUUGGGAUGCAUCUUGCACAGCUGACCUGCUGACCUAUAUCCCCGUGCCCCCCCUAGAGGGUCACCCCCUACCCAUUCUUCUUUGAACCAACCUCUUGUCUAUCCCUCCAUCUCUUUGGAGCUUUAAUGGGGGAGGGAGAAGAGGUGAGGCCCAAACACUCAACUCACAUCCUGCACGCAGGCACUAGGUUAUAUAACAGUCUGAAUGGAAAAAGGAAGGUCAGAGAUGGAGGCAUCCUUUAGCUAACACAGCAGUAGUAAUAGCUUCCAGAAAUUAUAUGCAUUUGCAGACUUUAACCUCAGAUGUAGCAUCUGCUCCUCAGGGGUACCAAUCUUUGUGUGAGCUAGGGAGAAAACGAAUGUGUAACUAUGCCUGGUAGAUGAGUGAUUUGAAAAUGGGAAAUGUUUGGGUUUUCAGAUGAUGUAAUGGAGUUGGCAGAAUAUGCAAGUCGGCUCCCAGAGUGUAAGCAGCAAGAAAAUUGGAGCUGGCAUCCAGUAUUAAUGUUGCAUAAAUUACAAUAUCGGAAAGAAAUUAACCUACACACUAGGUGAUUAUGCCUUUUUAAUACUUAAAGUAUAAAGGCACACAACUCAAAAGGAAAAGCAAACAUCAUCACCUUAUAAUUAGCAUUUUCAAACCCAAGGACACUUGAGUGGAGUUCUUGGCAUGGGGUGAAAUGGGGAGCUUUUUGAUUUGGGACGUGCUUUCCAGAGAGCCAGCAGGGUUAGCUUCCAGAUAGCCAGUUUUUUGAAGUGGCCAGAGACGGUGGUCUGGAUUCUCAUGACAUUGAGGUGACCUCAUGAGGCAGUAUUUAGGUAGACUUGAGACUUGCUGAAUUCCAUACUCCUGGGAAUGCAUGUGUGAAUGGACUGUGUCCUGCUAGUACCUUAGUGCCAGAGCUUCUAAAACCAGAUGUGCGACUUUAUAAUCUCAAAGACAACCUUCCCUUUGCCUGAAGACUGGGCAGAGAGUGUUAGCAGUUUUAAUGAAACUGUUCCAUUUUCUAGGUGGUAUUAAUGAUGUCUAGUGUCACUCAGUCCCAUCUUCACAGCACAAUGAAAGAGAAAAAAAAGAAAGGCAAGAGGCAACAUGGGAAGUAAGAAUGAAGCGGAAAAAACCACAGCGAAUCUUUAAUUUAACAAGGCUUUCAGGGACUUCAGGGAGCCAUGAACAUUGUGACAUAACUGUUGUUAAAAACCCUUUUCCAGAACCUCGUUAUUCUAUGCAUGCCAGAAGCUUACAUAUUUUACUUCACUAAAGUUAUCCUCACAGGGCUGGUGCCACACAGUCAGUUUGGAACACCAGUGCUGAAGGUUGAAGGCUUUUAGGGCAGGCCAACCAAAGGGAAAAAUCGAAACCAGAAAGAUGGGAUUAACACUGAAAAAAGCUCAGUUGGGUUGAGAUCGAACCCCCUGGAAGCUCAGCUUAGAUUGACUUAAAAUCAGUUAACAAGCCCUGUAGUUUAUUUGUAGCCCUGAGGACGUCUAGAACCACGUAAGUCUUUGACUUUGAAAGUGCUUUGCCUCUAGUUCCUGCUUCAGUCUUGCCUGAUUCACUUUCUGCUUGGUGUUCUUGCUGGGCAAUUUAGUGCCCUUUCUAGAGACUGAUUCUCAGAUCAGCCUUUCUUACGUGGACUCUGCUUGCUUUUCAAAGCGAACAAAUAAUGCCCUGUAGUUUGAGAGAACUACUGGCUGGGAUAAAAUCCUUUGCCAGAGGGAUGGAAUAAUUAUUUUUUAAACUAAGGGACUUUAAUUUUCCAGUAAAUUGCUCAUAAAAACAUUUAUAAUUAUACCCUUUAAAAAUGUAAUAGAAUAAUUUUAGAAAAUGCAUUUGAUGAUAGUUAUGAUAACCUUUUCUGUUGCUUCCCCCAUAUUUCUUAAAAAGAAUUGAAUUAUUAAUCUAGAAGUUGAAUCUUGAGUGGCUAAACACAUUUGUAAGCAGACACUUUUUAUGUUAGUCACCUGCUGGAAUUUUCCAAAACCUACUGGCAUUAGAAGGAGCCCUUGGCUUUAAACGAAGUCUCUGUGGAAUUGAUACAUGGAGCCUGCUUGGAAGCCCCCUAAUGAUGAGGCCCUUAAGUGUGUGUUUUCAAGGAAGCAGAGGUGGGGGCUCAGCAUAUAUUGCUUCUCCCACAGCAGUCUUCUAAGUGGAAUGUAGGGAGGUGGGAGAAGUUUCUUGGCAAUACUUGUACCUCUAGAUAAAUAUUCCAAGGAUUUUUGGUGACAGCUGAAUUGCUUGUGGAAGCAAACCUUUGGAAUACCAGUGGGACAAGCCUGUGACCUCUUCCUCUCGAACUACACUCUUGCCUCUUCUCCAUUAAAAUGCAUGUUUUUCUCCCAUUUUUCGCCUUUAGGAAAUUGUGGUGUGAUAUUGGAAGGACAGACUGAAUUGGAAUUCCCUGAAAUUUCUAUUCAUGUGGUAUCAUCUCUAAAAGCAUAGGUCACUCUUAAGUAUGCUCUCCUCCCCCACCCCGGCUCCCUCCAUCCCUGUAUCUUCCCCAUCUACUUGAUGAAUUGUACUUCUUAGCUUAUAAAUAUACUUCUGUGUCUGUGGAAGCAAAAUCUAUAACUGCUUUUCAGUAGUCUGGGGAAAGUUGUAAUGUGACUGCCCCAUGAGCCAAAAUAAUAAUAUAUAUAGAGAGAGAGAGAAAGAGAGAGAGAAAAUGAGACUCUCUUAAAGCCAAGUAGACUGCCGCUCACCUUUUUUGUCUUCCAUGAGCCACUGUACAUGGAUCCGGGGUAGAUAUCGCCUGUUCCUGACUCAUUCAUCCCAGAUUAGUGAUACGUGUUUCCAGGGCAAGGGAGUCUGUUUUGAAAGGUCUUCAGGUGCUGAAGUGAACACUAACCUAAAAUGUGGACUAUCUUUCUGAAUAUUCAUAUUGUCUUCCUUACUGAGGAUUGAGAAGCAGUCUGUCUUGCUCUUUCUCUGAUGUUUUCUACUGUUAGAAGAAGGUUAUGUAUAUGGAUAUAUAUCAUAGCAGGAAGUGUUGGUUAGAAAAUGAAGUGUUAAAAUUUUCACCCAUUUUACUAAGCUAUAUGUUUAGGAAAAUAAAAUUGAAUCAUUUUAAAUUAAUGCUUGAAACAACUUCUCCAGAUAAUCAGUGUUUGUUGAUUUAUGUGAAGUAAACCAUGAUUUUUUUUUUUUUCUGUAAGAGUACGAAGGCAUUACUGGUGAAUGGGUUUUUCUGGCUAAUGUUAGGUUAACCAGAAAUAUUUUAUUUUGUCUUUUUCUCGUUGAGCAUAUUUUUUAAAUGUCCUGGUCCCCCUUCCUACUCUAGACAGAACAUUGAGAAUGUAAUUGAAUCUUUCUUUGAGGGUUGGGGAUUUUAUGGUGCCACAGGGUCACUGUUCUGAAGAUGAAUUCUGAUUGUACAUUGUAGAACUGUAAAUGAAGAUGGUGUCAGCGGUUGGACUUAAUCUGUCCUGAUCCCAGCUUGGAAAUUGUUUUCUUUUUUUGUUACAGCCUUGAUAUUAGUAUGUUUUGUUAUUUGCCUCCCUUGUUCUCUAAGUUGCAAAAUAGAAGAUUCAGUUCAAUGAGAUGAUUCCGGUUAAUUGAGAUUUUUACUUUAUAAGAACAUUUUAAUCUGAAUCAAGAACCUUAAUUCUUUCUCUAGUUAUAGAGGAUGUAAAAUCUUGUUCUGAUAUUCAAGAUUUACAAAUAAGUUAUACAUCCUGUUACCAAAGCACCGUGUAACUUCUCCCUUCUGUGAUGGUAGAUAGAAAUGCCUGCUUAUUUGCCUCUUCCUUAAGAUAUGUGGAAGGGGUACCUUUGGUAGACGACUCUAAAUUCAGGAAAUUAGGAAACUCAAGGGUGACAAAGAAAACUUUGUGGCUUUCCCCCACAGGAAUAGUAGUCUCUUUCCAAGCUUAGGCCUUUGUUCACUGGACCAGUCUGCAGAGCAUCCUUCGGAUCCCACCCUCAGGGGCUGACCCUCUCAGGGCUGGCCCACUGGACUCAGUGAUAUUCUUCAGUUAUUUUAUGAUAUAUUUGAUAUCACAGUGCUGAAAAUUCAGAUGGGGAGUCUUGGUGUUCUUUUUUGACAGCCCAACUAUUAUUAUUAUUAUUACUACUGUUACUAUUAUUUUUUUUCUUUUGGAGUAAAGACAUCAAGGAGAUUGUCCAAAGAAAUUCUUAGAAGAGGGGGCUGGGGCAUGAUGAGGAGUACAUGUGCCACAGCUCAUGGUUUAGAACGCCUCGCUUUUUCCUCCAGCUUUUACAUGCUAUUGUUAAGAGGAAUUACAGGUAACAAUUCCUUGGCGUUGGUGAAAGAACAGAUUUCUUUUUUCCUAACAGAUGUUUAUAGUCUUAACUAAUAUGUCGUUAUUACACACUGUCACCAUCACAUCCCCCGGAACAUUGACAGUGACGGUUUCCAGGUGACUGUCUUGUCCAUGGAACUACAGCCCUGGUCGGCAGCUGAGGAUCCCUCUGCAGUACCUACUCACCACCAAGAGCACAGAUUUCCCUCCCACACGAAGGCACUGGCGAACUGCAGAGACCCCACAGAGCUUCCGUACCUGUGCUGUGUUCUCUGAAGUUCAGAACAUGACUAGGGAUGAUUAUGGUGUAGGGGAUGUACAAUCUCUCAGCCUGGAAUCAUCUCUCUCCGUGUUUUGGGAUAUUUGAGAUUUGAUUUUGAACUCUGAAAGUUCAGUGAAAUAAUCAGAAAGUUCCUGUGUCCGUGAACAUACCAUACGAGGUGAAACUUUUCUGGGGUGCCAGGAAGGGUGCCACUGAGAUUAGGAUCCUUGAGCCUGUGAAAGAGGCAGCGCUCUGUUAAAAAUACCUAGCUUACUUCGGGGGAGGAUUUGGCUGAAUACUGAUGAAGUUUAUGAAAUAUGAAUGUAGUGAAGUUGCUGUACGUAAGUGGUAGGCGUGUGUGAAAGAAGUAAGAAGAAAUAAAAUUGUGUAUAAAUGACACUCUGAAACUUGAUGGAAUUGUAUACGUGACAAGAAUGGUGACACUGGGUCUGAAUUUAAUGGGAAAAAAUAAACUGGUUUAAAAAUCUGUAUGUCAAACUAGGUGCGUGACUGAAAAUUACAGUAUAAAAUCAUUUGACUUAGUUUAUAAGCAAGGAAUGUCACCAAAGAUAAACAGGCAGGUUGCAAAGAAUAGAGGUGAAACAGAAUGGGGGAAAAAAUGAAGGACCAACACUUGAAUUUAUAAUGAGGUAUGGAAAUCACUGUUUUAAAUAAUCCGGACUAUUAACAACUGUGCUGCUAGGUGGAGAAUUAGUUAUAGCCAAACAAAAGGCAUAAAUAUGAAUUUUAGGUUAUGUGGGAGAAAUCCUCUUGAUCCCCAAAGCAUAAAUGCAUGUACUGAGAAGCAAAGCUGCACACGAUGUAAUUUUUUCUGUCUUAUCCUGAUUAAUUGACAGCCAACUGUAUGCCUCUUUCCUGAAGGUGACUUUACAAUCUCCAGACACAGACAUUUCUCUGAGAAGUGGAGUGAAGGAAGGAGAACCACAAGCUAAAGGCAAUGAAAAGAGGAAAAGUUGACACUUUGAGAAGUUAUGACGAACUUGUCGAGAAUGCCAAUUGACAAAGGCAGUUUUAGAGAAACCUGAAGAAAUGGACAAAGACGGAGAAAAGACAACCAGAUGUGAGUCUGCCCUUCCAGAAGCAAGGAGGCUCAUAGCAUCCCAUAUGAUCCCUGCCGGUCACGGGGAGGAGUGACUGUGUAGAAGUUAAUGGAUUUUCAACAUACAAAUCACAGAAGAAAGAAGGGUAUAUUUAGCAAGUCUAUAAACUCUUAAAUAAACUGCAUUGCUUUUCGUUUUCACUGUGUAAUGAUAAAGCCAGUGGCUGAUAACGAGGGCAUGGUAACAAGGUAGUCUGUUUUCCCAGGGACAUUUGUGUGACGGAGACGUUAUAUAUCUGAAAGGACAAGGCAGCUAGGAGGGUGAACUGCCCGUAACUCUCAAUUGUCCAGGUAAUGAAGCAUGGGAAAGCAAAGGCAAAUGAAAUACUUUGAUAAUCACAGAUGAUUCUUCUUUUAGUGAUCAUAUUAGUUUGACUUGAUGACAAGUGUGAAAUUGCCAGUGUUGUAUUUUACCAUUUCUGGCAUUUAGCAUGUUUAUGUAGAAAGAACGAACCCAGGCACUUUCAAUAGACCAGGCCAUUAACCCAGAAGAUGCAAAAUUCACUGUGAAGGAUAGAGGUUGAAGAUCAAUGAGGUCUGCACAUUUCUCCAGGCCCUGCAGGGAAUCAGAGGGAGAACUGAUGCUGCACUGACCUGUCUCCUGAAAGCUCAAAAGCUCGCUUUGUAAUCAGUUGUUUGGGGGAGUGGGGUGGAGGGUGUUAGCUAUGCGGCCUCGCUCUCCACGCUGCCCCUGGUCAUGUUUUAUUAGACUAACGCCCGUGAGAUCCAGAAGGGUCCUCAUGAAUCAUCUGGCUGAGCUCUCUGUUUAAACUGAUGCUCACCGAGAUAUAAUCAUGUAUCUGAGGUCCCAUUCCUAGUAAGUAGCUAGGAUGUGACUAGAAUACAGGUCUCCUACUUGCCUACCUAUGUUCCUUCCACUUGUGUGCUGUGUCAGGAUGCUCAGAAGUUCCAGUAAAAUGAAGUUCCUACCCCCCAGGAAAACCUCUGGAGGCUAGUAUGAUGUAUAUCUAAGUUAGUCCAGCAUAAGUAGUGGAACAUUGUCAAUCCCCACUGGGCAUUUUUAUUAAUGAAAACUUAGCCAAUGAGCUUGUCAUAGUGGGAAUUCUAUGUCACUAAGUCACUCUAAAGCACAAUAAGGACAGUGCUGGUGUCUCAUGGGCUGAUUUACUGUAAAGCAAAAUAUAGGAUGUGGAGUUGAGCAUCUUUUACUUAAUGCUUUAGAGAGGAGUUAUGCUUGUUGUAACUAUAUGUAGUGUGUGGGGGGAUGCCUUUCAGCUGCAUCCUCUUUCCUCAAGGCAGAGGAUUUAAUACCAUCUGUAAGAGAAAAGCUCAGGUCCGUGAAUGGAAUACUAUGAAGCCAGUAAAAAUCAUGUCGUAGUAGAAAAAUAUUUCUUGUUUAUGAUAGACUGCUUAAUCAAUUAAUAGCUUUCAUAGUAGUGUCCAUAGAACAUCAUUUUUAUAAAAACAUGUGUCCUGGGGGGAGAGUUUGUGUGUGUGUCUGUGUGUCUGUGUAUUAACAUGGAUCCAUAUAUACCUAACUGAUGAAAUGGAAAAGUGGUCAUCUCUGCAUGGUGGGAUUAUCUGUGAGUUUCAUUUUCUUUGUGCUUUUUUUUUUUUUUUUUUUGUAUUUUCUGAGUUCCCUGCAUUGUGCAUGUAUUAUUUUGUAACUAGAAAAAAAUAAAUCAUAAUUAUUUUCAAAAAAGAUUGUUUGUGUGUUGUGAAACUGGGAUACUUUGAAGGACCUAAGUCUGAAUUUAGUAUGUUACACAGAAUUUCUUGAUGUUUCAGCACUGGCCAAAUUUACUGACCCAAAGAACUGUACCUUUUACUGUCACUUUCAGCCAGGAAGACAAGAACCACUCAACUUUGAAUAUGAAAAAGAAUGUCCUAAUAUUGGAAUUUCUGCUCUUUUAAGGCAAUGUCUGUCGAGCUUAUACUAUGACCCACAGGGAGGAAAACAUACUAUCUUGUGAGCCAUACACAUGUACACACACCCACAUACUCUCUUGAAAUAAACUUUUCACAUAAGAUAUUUCUCCAUUACCUGGGAUGGGCUGUUCUUUUUGCUCUGUUAUUUAAAGACAAAGCAUAAGUCACGAGCCACCAAACCGGUUUCCUGACUUAUUUACAGGCCACUGUCCUGGGCAUGAGGUCGACGCAGCCUUCCUUCGAGCCAUGGCCUGUGGUGGUGGGGGGGAUUCAUUCCACAGUAACUGAUGUUGAAUUCCAGGUGUUACUCAUUAUGAUUUCAGGGAGGAGGUGGGGGAGGGAAAAUAAUUCAAAGACUUUUUUGCAAUCCUAUGACAUUUUUAUGCCACUUUUAGCAUGUGCUCAUUCAUAUCCUAUUACAUUUAGACAUGCAUCUGCCUAGACUGGCUUAGAAUGUAAAUUCUGGGAUUCCCCUUUGCUUGGAACUAUGUAAUAGCAUGGGGGUGGCAUUCUUUCAUUCAGCAAAUAUUUACUGAGCAUCAUCUAAGUACCAGACUUGAUGCUAAUCUGUCGGGAUAAAGCAUGAACAGGAGAGUCAUCCCUGCCUUCUUGGAUCUUACAUGCUAGUGAUGGCAUCUCUCACUAUAGCCUAGGUUGGUUUUGACCAGACACUUCUGAUGGUUCUCCUCUACUUGUGUCUCAGACUUGGAUUUUGUCCAACUUGUAUCCUUUAUAUGUACCUUUUCCUGUUCCCUCCCCUCCCCAGUCCCCACUCUUCUGUCCAAAUCUCUCUUUUCUAUUUGCUAUUCAAAUCCUACAGUCAUUUUAGCUGCAGAUAGGGAACCCCCCCCCCCGGCCCCCAUUGCAGUUCCCACACCUGUCUUUUACAGGAGUCAGUCACAUGAGCUUUGCUCAUUCAAUCAACAUGUAACCCCUUCCUUUGUCAGGUUCCUCUUACCCUGUCUUAUAAUGAUAUUUCUUGGGUAGAAGCCUAGUCUCCCCAAAAAGACCAGUACUAUGGUUUAUUCUUUUAUCCCUGCACAGUACCUUGCCAAAAGUAGGUGCUCAUUAACUGUGCAGAUAAUCUUUCUCACUUUGCCCUGCAGAGCUAUUUUUUUUUUUUUUUUAAGUAGAUCCAGCUCUGCACUUCCCUACUCUGCAAGCACAGCUUCUACUUACUUAGACUUCUAGCUGGGCCUUAGGCUCACACCCACCCGCCCCUGUUUUCCCAUUUCUGUCUCUUGGAUCCACCAGUCCUCUUCAAUUGCAGGCGCAGGCCUGCUACAGUCUUGAACAACUCAGACCAAGGCUGGACGUGUUGGGAGAUGGCAUGCACGGUUGUUACAAGCCUGCUGGGAGUGAGGCAGAGGCCCAGGUAUGCUCUGUGCUAGCUGUGGGACCUUAGGUAAGUCCUUUAACCACUUGGUCUGCUGCUUUUGUCGCUGAAAAACUGACGAUGGUGCUGAUGAUGCCACUUCCUAGUUGACUGAGCGCAACACCUGAUAACAUGCAUGGGUGGUACCUGGCAGGAUGCCUGGCAGUAUGGAGUAUAGCCCCAGUGAUGGUGGUGAUGAUGGGGCACAGACAGGAACAGUAGGCCCUCUUGCCUCCCUUUCCUCUGUCUUCACACAUCUUCAGCUCUCUGCAACUUUUUUGGUUCCAAUCAGUUGCUCUGAAAUAAGCAGGGAGUCCCAGGGCAUCAGUGUCCUAAAACCUCCCUUUCCUGGACUAGAUCCUCAGCUCAGCUGUCAUGGGCCGGGUCUUGUCAAUUGAGGACAAAUCACUUAAAUUCAACCCUGUCAGCCACUUAUUGGGAUUCCCUGGGAUUAUACCCCACCCCUCGAAGUAACCUCGAGGAGGUGCCAGGUCAGCCUGUUUCCUUCCCUCUGUUUUCUACCUUGUAGCUGCCUUCUCUAGACAUUGAGGCCUGGGGAGAUCCUUCAUUCCCACUUUCCUGUGGUGCUCUCUCCUGCUUCAUUCCUCAGCAACCCAACAUUCUUUGCCCUCCCUUCCGCUUUACUCACUUUUUCCUCUCUGCCAAAGAAAAUCACAUUGGAGAAGCUUGUCCGCAAGAGUUCCAUUCAACUUGCUCUACAUUAAUGCUCCACUAUGGUGACCCACUGCUGAGUCUUUCACUUGUAAUGUAAUCUAAUAAUUUACAUGCACUUUGCAAGCAAUACUCUCGGAGACUCACAACCUGCUUGAAAUUGCUCUGCUGUUACAGUAUUUGAGCUGAUGAGAGAGCAGCAUGAGAAAAAGUAGUUAUUGGUACCACAGUGGUAUUGGGUAAGCCCAGGGAAAUAAUGUUUGCACAACGUGAGGGUGUGCUGAUGGUUUGUAAUAUCCUUUCUUUGAGAAUCAAUUAAACUUGCUAAAGGUCUUUUAUUGAUUUGGGCUGUAAUUGGACUAGGAUAGGUCAAAGAGACAUAGAGGUAGAAGCAUAGCAAGCUAGAGGAAGUGAACCAAGAAUGGAAUCCAGAUUUUCUGGGAUGCUGUGAAAAUGUUUCAAUUUUGAUAUAUUACAUGACUUUUACAGAAUUAAUCGGCACUGUGAUUAGGUGGUUUUAUUUCUUCACUCAAACAUGUUAGAUGCUGAUUCUAAUAUGCAGUAGUAAUGAAAAUAGAGUAAUGCUAUAAUAAUAGUGCCAUUGUAAAGUGAAUUGCACCAUUAAGCAUCUAUUUUGUCUAAUUUGUAUUGUGAUAGUGUGAGUGAUACACACACAUACAGACUUAGAGUAGCUGGUCUUUGAGAAACAGACUGUAGCUGAGUAGCUCCAUUCCUAUAAUACUGAACAGUUAGUGAAUGGAAAUAAGCCACUGUUCAGUGAAAAAGUGAGUUCUUAUAUAUCUAAAUAUGAAUGUAUAUGUAUGUACAUAUACAUGGACACACAUACACAUGUGCAUUUACAUAUCCACACAGACACACAUGCAUAGUGUGCCUGGCAUCUGUCAGGCAGAUUGAGGAUGAGACAUAUAUGAAUGUGACAUUAAAGUGCUUGCCUUGGGUUGCAUUUUAGCAUGUUGGCUAGCCUGCCUGGGGACAGAUACCAAAUCAAUAAUAGUCUCUCGGUCAGGAUUUGAAAACAAGGUUUUGUGUAUUGUUUCCACCUUUAUCCUCAUUUCCAUGUCUGAGAACCUCAAUAUUUCUCAAGUUGGAAAGAAGCACUAGACCUAGGAAUUAUAGUUAUUUUAUUUUGUCACUUGUCUUCUAAGGAGGGACAUUGGCCAAACAAUUUCUUCCACAGAGGCAUAUUUUUAUGCCUUAAGUCAUAAGCUAACCCUGGAACACAAACAGGAUCUGAGAAGGCAGCAUCAAAUGGGAUAUGUAAAUUAAAAAGUCCAAGAAUCUGCUAUACUAUGACUUGAUCCCUGUGAUUAUCCCUUUGCCUCAGGAGGACUGGCUUUAGGGGGUAGAUUGGCAGUAAUUUUUGCAUGAGUCUCCAACCUCUAGGAUGGUUUCUCCAGGGAGUUCCUAAAGACUUACCUGGUCCAUCUCCAGUUGGUCCUGCUGCCGUCAAGACCCUCUCUCCAUGUUUUCCUGCAGUGGCCAUUUAGAAAAGAUUUUACUGGUAGUCUCCACCUGUCACUUAUCCCACACCAGGAUUUUGCUUCCACAGCUCUGUCAACACUAUCCCCUGCUAACCUGGAAUCUGAGAAAGACUUUAUUCAAAGAGUAAAAAUUUUACGUAGUUUAGAAUAUGUUUCAAUUUCAUAUAUAUAAUACUUGCUCUGAGGACCAAAAUGUUGAAAUCAAAUUUGCAUCAUAAACAUCUGUGUGAUCCCUAUAAUGUCUUAGGUCAGUCAUGUUAGCUUUAAAGUCCAUGAGCAUUUGAGGGGAGAGUACAUAGCAUCAGUGCCUGGCAUCUGGAUGAAGAAUGUAUUUAGUGGAGAAAUUUUACUGCAAGCCUCAAUGAAAAAAUAUCAAUAUGAUAUUGUGCCUAAUAAAAUGUUAUAAUGAAAAUUACCAUGGUAUUUGACAACAUCUCUUUAUUAAUUGGUCUUUUCCAUUAUUUUCUUAGAAGCAAACAUAGUCUGGUUUUAUCGCUCAUUAGUUAUAGUCCUGAUUGAAUUCACAUUUGGUUGCUUCAGCUGGGUUUAUCUUCUGAUUGGUCUUAGUUCCUUGAGGGCAGCAUUGUAGAUUGUCUUGAGUCUUCUAUCCCAUAUCUCUUUACAAUUUUCAUGGGCAUUCAGUGAAUGCCCUCUGGAUGCCAGUGAUGUGCAGUUUAGAAUCAAUAUGUGAAAGAUGAGUCAGCUGAAGGAAAACUAGAAUGAGACAAGAAAAUCCAAUAUUCUUUGAUAGCUUCAGAGGUUUAAAGCGAUGGAAUAUAUUGCCCUCUUUCAUCGAUCCAUCGCGUAUUUACUGAGCACUUACUAUGUGCCAAAACCUGUAUCAGUCAAUGAGGGUAAAGUGGAAUAAAAGUAAUUGAUAGGCAGGAAAAACAUAUUAACCAUUUUUUUAAUGUGGAUAGUUCUAUAGAGAUGCUUAGAAAAUAUGUAAUAUUCACAAGAGGGGAAAAAAGACUUAAUGAGUUAGGGUAAGCUCACUGAGAUGGGUUUAUUUGGUAAAAUAGGAAGGGAUUUGCUUACAGGACAAAAAAAGAAGGAGGAACUUCUGGGCCAAAAUAUAUGAGGUCAAAGUUCAUGGCAAACUCAGGUUAAUGUGAAGGAGGUGUUGCAGGGUCCACACAUGGAGUCUGAUGAUAAGAACGAGGAGAUGAGAUUGGACAAAGUAAGCAGGAACCAGGCUAAGAACUUUGGACCUUUUCCUAUGGCAAAAUUUUGAGCAAGUUCUCUGGUUUCCUUUUGGUAAGGUCCUCUGUAGAGGUUCAGGGUGGAAAAUUGAUGGUGUAGAUAAAGAGGCAAGUCAGGAACUCUCUGACACAUCUAGGGAGAUACUUAAGCCUGGACCUCAGGGCAAGGAGGUGGACACUGAGGUAGAAUUUCUCAAGAGGUGAACUGGAGGUGCAUGAUGGAAGUAAUGAAAGAACUCAGGUCCAGAGUUGAACGGAAUUGUUGGCUGGGACAUGUUUAAGGUGGGAUAAAAAGACAGGAGAAUGCUUGGGUUCCAUAUUGGAUGGGUGGAUUGAAGGUGUUGGGGAAGUGUGAUGGGCAGCUGGAAAGGUGGGUCUGGCAGAGCGCAUGUUACCAUGUUGCCUGUGGGAUUAGGAAAAACAGCCUUUUAACAAGCACACCCUGAGCUGAGGACAGGCAGCUGGGUUGGUGACACGGAACUCUAGUUCUGAGAAGAGUUUUUGAUGGGAUAGUGGGUGAGAUUUUUAUACCAGGUCAUGUUCAUGGAUUUCAAAAUGAUAUCUGGAGAAAAUAAGCCUGAGGUCCAAAUGGGUGUGGUUAAGAAGAUAGAGGGAACGGACAGAGAACAGUAUCUAAAAAAGUCUGGAUUCAGACCUGGAGAUCCUACAUUUACAAAAGGCAUAAAAAGACAAGGACAUCUUUAAGUCCAGAGUGAGGUUCUGAUACACUUUGCUACCUCAGGUUGCUGCUGGGCUUUAUUGGCUUUGAUGAUGGUUUCCUUCCCAACAUGUCUAAUUGAUGAUUGAAGAAUUACUGCCCCCCCCCCUUUUUUUUAAGCUUUCUACACAGCCUAGCAUUGAUUUAUCCUGUCUCUAAAGGGAAUCUGCCUCACACUUGGCAGAACCUCAAGGUUGGGAGAAAUGGAAUGAAUAGUAGCUGUGGAGAGGCCUCCACAUUGCCCUGGGAGAAAGGCUUCGUGGGAGAGAAAGUUGAAAGAGGGUCUUAAGGGGUGUGAGAGCUUCAAAGGAUGAGUCUAACCAUGGGAAUCUAAGUGGAAGAUUUUUUUUAAGUUGACCAGGACGAGAAAAAGAAAUGCACAAAUGUCUGUUGGCAGGCAGAUGAUGAUUUUGAUUACAAUCAGAGUAGGAUUGCUGCAUUGUGAAUUUUUGGCCCUCCUCUUCUCAAUGGGUUUUCACAUACACAGCAGCCUGUGUAAUGUCACAGCUCAUGGAGGGACUCAAGAAGUGUCGUGUAAUUAAGGGGACCUGCUGAUUUAAGGCAACUGGGAUACUAGCAGGCUAAACUUAGCUUUUAACUCCAGCUAGUGUGACAGGAGGGGACUUUGCCUGUGGGAAGGGCCAUCUCUUUGCUUGUGGAGGUGGUAGCCGACUCCCUAUUGUUUUUCAGUGAGCUCUGAUUAAAUGCUUUCCCUGUAGAUAUUCCACUAAUAUGUCAUGUGAAUUAUUUGUGUUAUCUCUGUGCUGUGAAAUUAGAGGCCUUCACCCACAGUGUGGUAAGUAGAUUAAAACGAAAGCCUGUUUUUUUAUGGUAUGGGGGAAACUGGGCAAAUAUCAGGGAACUAUUUUGUGUGUGUUUGAUCUGACGGUGGGGAGGUUUCGGGAUGCCAGUGUCUUCUGAAAUCUGAAAGCUGAGCUCUGGCUGGAGUUUUCUUCAAAGGGCUUUAUAUUUUAUCCGUUGGCACUUCUUAGGGGGAAGGAAGGUUUGGAGUGGGAGAUUCUGUGAUGUUUCUUUUCUUGCUGCUGUUUUCUUCUCCUUUUUAACUUUGCAGAAAGCCCUUCCAGUUCUACGGUCAGACCCCGUUCAGGACAUUGGUGGCCAAACAGUCCCCUUUUGUUAAGCGAGCGUCCUAUUUUUGUUUCUCUUGAAAGGUGCCCUUCAGGACAGCAGAGUCUUUCUUUGAGCUGUUUAGAAUCGAGCUCUGAAGAAACCUAAACAGAAAUCAUUCUAAACCCAGGCCAAGUGCCUCCUUUGCCUAGCGAGGCAAAGCUAAAACCACACUAGAUGAAAUCUAACCAGCUGGUUACCUGAGAACCACCUUGGGGAGUUCUCCAGCUUGACUUCUCCCACUUUGGCCACCAUCCCAAUAGCCAUGAAAGCUGAGGGUCACGGCCUUUCUGUGCAGAGAUGCAGGGAGAGAGCUGUGGCUCCGGUGAAGAAGGGGAGGUUGGGCUGUGUGUCAGCUUGCAAAAUGCUGAGCAUCUCUCUAUAAGGAUUCUGAAUAGAAAUGGGUCAGAGCAGAUAUUUAUGAUCAUCGGUCUCUUUAUCUUAGAAUAGUGCAAUUUUCCCUCUUUAUUGCUUAAGCUUUCAGUAAGUUCAUUUUAUUCGAUUUAUAUAUAUAUCUCAAAGGUAAACCACUUUCAUAGCUUUAACCCAUCUCACAUACCUCUAUUAUUUUCAGUUCUCCCUUUUUCUUCCACAAAUUAGGUAAACCGAGUCAUUUGAGAAAGUUGGGCAUAGCUAGCCUGUGGUCAUUUAGAGCCUGAGCCUUUUAAGGUUAUUUUCUUUUAUUCUGUUAUAAUAGAUAUGGGGCUGAAACCUCUAUCAUUUGAAAGAGGAUCUUUGUUCCUUAACCAAAGAUCUUCUGGGUUAGGGUUCAGACAGGCUUCACUGCUCAGGUACUUCAGUUUUGGAAUUUUUCUUCCCAUUUUACCUAUCACCUGGGUCAUUCAGGUGGAAUAGGGGAAGAGUUGGCCUUUGUUAGAAAAAGAAAGACUGGCUAGACAAGUUUGAUCCCUAGCGGCAGUUUGGAGCCUUCUUGAAUGUGAGGUCAUCAGUACAUUUAAAAUCUGAGCUUCCACACAGUGGUCAGUGAAGCUCCUGUGCCUCCCCAUUAACUGCGCUAUUUUCCAUGUGUUUCCAGAGCAGGAGGCACCUGCCUCUUGGGGAACCCCCAGCAUCAUGGGGUACCUAUCUAACUGACCCCUAUGUAUACAGACAACUAAAAAGUGAAGUGGUUUGGAGGUAGGCAUCAUCUUAAGGCUAAAGUCAUACAUUUUAGAAAGUUAAGGACUGGUUCUGUGACAGGGAAGUUGAGCUAAAUAUGCAGUUCUAUUUUAAUUUUCAUUUUAUGCCAAGGCAAAAGCAUUGGGAGAUAGGCUAUAAAUGUAUAAGUAAGUCACUACAAGAAUAGCCCCUUGCAAAAUGCAGAUUUAGGAAGGCUAAAUAUUUUCUCACAUAUUUUAAUGCACAUGAAUAACUAACCCUUGAUCGAGAUCCUAAGAAAUGGACGUUGUAUAACUACUUAACCUUGAUUACGAUUAUGAAUUGUGCAGAGAUCUAUAAACUGUUAAUUAACUAUUUGGUUAUCUUAGCUUGGGCUUCAGUAAUAAAAUGCCAUAGACUGGUAGCAUAAACCAAAGACAUUUAUUUUGUCAUGGUUCUGGAGGGUGGCAAGUUCAGAACUAGGUGCUGGAAGAUUUGGUUCGUGGUGAAGAUCCCCUUCUUGACUUGUAGGUGACCAUCUUUUUACUGUCUCCUCAAAUUGUAGAGGGAGAAAAUUCUGAUGUCUCUUCCUCUAUGUGAGGCACUAAUCCCAUCAUGCGAACCCUGCCCUCAUGACCUCAUCUGGAACCUCAUUGUCCCCCUAGAGACCUCACCUCUUUAGACUAUCACAUCAGGUGUUUGGGUGUCAAAAAGUUGUCUAAAAUUUUCCAAAAAAAAAAUGUUUAAAAUUCUUAACUUGCUCACUUGCUCAACUGUCUGUUUAAACAGAGUCCUGUUUUUUGUGUCUUUUACUGGGGACAUGGUUGUGCCUCCCAGGUGCCCCACUACUCUUGGUACUCUUGAAAGCUACAGUAGUAAUGCUCAAGAUUAUUAAGGCUAUGGUGUCAUUGUUUUAAAUUAGUGAGUGUGAUUUUUUUUGUAAUUCCAAAACAAGUUCCUUGAUAUUCUGCAUAAUUGGAUCACAUUUUAAUUUCGUGGCAAAUAAAGAUCUAUUUUACAUUUCUAUUAGAAAGACAAGCCCCUGUGGCUAGGCUGAAUUAGAAUGUUUGGUUGUACUGGGGCAGCAAGUCUUUUAGAGUUGAUUCAGCUUCUUAAAAACUUAUUAUGGGGGCCUCCCCAGUGGCGCAGCGGUUGAGCGCUGGGUUGCGAAGCUGCCUGCCGCCUCUGCAGCGCCAGUUCGAUCCUGGCCAAUGGGCAAGGGUCCCACAUGGCGUGCAUAUCUCGCCUGUUGCCCGCUGCUCCCCUCAGCAGUGUACUUCGUCGGUCUGCCUGUUCUGUUCCCCGCUCUGGCUCUGGUGAAUUCUCUCACUCUCCCGCGCUUCUGACUGUACCCAGUGCUUGUAUAAAUAAAUUAAUUAAUCUUUAAAAUAAAAAAACAAACUUAUUAUGGGCCUCCCUGGUGGCGCAAGAGGUUGAGAUGCAGCCUAUGAAGCUGACCCCAGCCACUGCAGCACCAGUUUGAUCCCCAAUCAGGGAGCAACCCACAUGGUGCAGCAGACCUCUCCUCUCUCACCUGCUGCUCCCCUCAGCAGUGUAUUUCAGUCAUUCUGCCUGUUCUGUUCUCCGCUCUGUCUCUGGUGAAUCCUCUCACCCUCCGCACCUCUGGCCUAUACCCCAGUUCUUGUAUGCAUAAAUAAAUAAAUCUUUAAAAAAUACUUAUUAUGACUCUUUAGGGCAAGAGAGACCCUUCAAUCUAAAGAUUAUACACAGGCAUAGAUUUCAAGUUAAAGCAAAUAUUGAAAAGACAAGAAAAUAAAAUAUAAGCACUAAUACAGGCAGAGAGUAACUAAAUCAUGGGUUAUCUGUUAUGGCAUAUACUCCAAAAAUAUACUGUCAGGUAUAUCUGUGAAUGAAUACAUUUUAUUUUCUGUAUGGUUAAUGCCCUGAGAGUUUGCAUGAAGCAGAAUGAAGAAAAACUGCGAGAGUCCGCUGGACAAGUAAUUAAGAGGUGUGGGUUCUGAGCUCAGCUCAAGCAUUAAUUAUGUAAGUGACUUUGUGCAGUUGACUUUCACACCCUCCCUCCACCCAGGCCUUAUGUUCUUCAGGUGAACUCCAGGUAUAGCUCCAGGACUCACUGAGACACAUGUUCCUGCCAACUCUGUCAUUCUGUGACCUCAUGAUGAAGACCAACUUCUGUAAGGAUCCAUGGAAGUGCACUUUCCUUAUUCUCUCUACCUUUAUUAAAAAUUAAGGCAUAAUUUACAUGUCAUAAAAUUUCAUCCUUCAAAAUAUACAAUGCAAUGAUUUUUAGUAAAUUUAUAGAGGUAUGUAACCACCACCACAAUCUAGUCAUGGAACGUUCUGUCACCCCCAAAAGAUCCCUCUUGUCCAUUUGCUGUUACCAUUACUAAUCCCAAUCUAUGACAGCUGUUCUUCUACUUUCUGACUCUGAGAUUUGCCUUUUUUGGACAUUUCAUUUGAAUGGCAUCAUACAAUCAGUGGUCUUUUGUUCCUAGCUUCUUUGACUUAGCAUAAUGUUUUUGUAAUUCAUGUAUGUUGUAGUGAGCAUCCAAACCUCCAUCUUUUUAUCACAGAAUAAUAAUCUAUUGUGUGGAUAUAUCACUUUUUGUUUAUCUGCUCAUCUGUUGAAAGUUUCCUUUUUCUUGCUUUGCUCUUCUGUGAAAUACUGAUUCCUGAUAUAGCUGCCUCCAUUUGGGAGUCUCUCUUAGAGAACUGUAGUCUUUAUCUCAGGUUUCCCUUUGUAGAAAAGGCUGGAGUUUUGUGUUUUAAACCACUUAAAAACUUCCAAGUCCGUUGGCUGAGUUGGCUGGGUCAUUGAAAAUGUGAUUAAAUAACUACGUAGUAACUAUCAGUAAAUAUGAAAACAUUAGCUUCUAUGUUUUAUAAUUAAUGUAAAUGUGAGGUUUCCUUAAUAGGGAACUCAUCUCAAAACUCUCCCCAGUGACAGCCUGCUUGUUGUUUUACAUUUGUUUACCCACUGGGUGAUGAAUACUUGGAAGCAACAGUUAGUUAGGAACACUGGCUAUUACUCUGACUCAGUAAUGUCACUUUCAGUAUUUUCCCCUGGAAGUCAUCAGAGUGAUUAUGGACAACAAAUCCAGAAGGGAAGUAAGUACUUGCAGAGAAAUCUACUCUUUGCUUUUCAGCAGUGAAUCACAAAGAGGUAGGAGAAAAUAAGAAGACUGAAGUAAGUGUUUGUGUUGAUUUCUUUAAAAAGAUGCCAUAGACUAGACAACUUUACUGUCUGAGAUAGUUGGCAUUCUUUUGUGUUGGGAGCAAAUGUGGGAUGUGCAUUUUCAUUUGAUAAGUUCCUAGGUCAUGGAGAGUAGCAACUCGGUAUUCUGCGUGCUCCACAAAUGGCUCUCCAGCUUCAAGUUCAGCUCUGGCAAUGUGGUUAAUCUGCAGUAUGUUUUGAUCUUCAGUUGCUCCCAGGUCCACUCAAUUUCCUGGAAUCCUUCCUUGACUAGUGUGUCAUAUAGGAGGGAGGUAAAAGGCACCUUAUUUGCCUUUCUCAUCUCCAUUUGGAGGAUGUAUUUGUUGUCAUGGUGUAUUCUAAAAUUUUCAGGAAGGUUGGACCCACAAGAGGAGUGGUCCUCAUGCCUUUGUGCCCAUGUAUAUAUGUGACUAUACACACACACACAAACACACACACACACACACUCUUCCAACAGCACAGUAGGGCUAGUCCUAUGCAAGCCAGCAGCUUGACUCUGUUUUAUUUAACCCACUAAUUAUAAACAGCAUCAGUAAUAUCUUUUGGAAUUUAGACCUUAGGUUGUUUACUAUUCCCAGUGGUGGAAGUGAUGUUUAGAUUGUCACACCCUGUGCCUCUUGGUCCUGGGAAAGAUUUGCCCUGGGUGAAUACAUAACAUAGGUUAUUGUAGAGAAAGCUAAACCAGGAUGUUUAACAAAACUCAGAACCUCUCUGUGCUAAGUCUUAAGUAUGCUACCUGUGGGCAGAGAAGACUGCCCAGGGCUGAGUAAGGGUGAGCAGACUGCACUCAGCCAAGAUCACGUUCUUAUCCCUCUCCCUGAUAGCUUUAAAGAGGGAACAUAUUUCUUUUCUAAGUGGGGAAGAAACCAGUUAGAAAACAAAGCCCUUUCUCUUUGUUUGUUGGUGAGGUUAUGGGAGGAAAGUUUGGUGAUCGCUCACUUGGGCUUCUGUUAUAAUGUUGUCACAGUUGAUGGCUGCUAGGAUUGUUUAUAUAUGAGGCCGUGGAAGUGGUGAGAUCCUUGAGGACGAGGAUGCAGUGGAGUGACCUGGGUGUUUUCCAGAGACCCCAGCUCAGCACUUUGCAUACCACAGGCUCUUAACUUUUACGAAUAAACAGACAAGGAAUAAGUACUUUCUAUAUGACAUACAGUAUUUCUGAAUAUGCUGGUGUUCACAGUGGUCUCUGGCAGGAUUGCUGGAUGCCAAAGAGAAGAAAGAAAGACAGAGCCCCUGGCUCUUUCCCUCCUUCCCUUGCCCCUUGCUUCCUCUUGUCCCUCUUUCCUUCCACAACCAUGUGUUCAGUUCUUAUGCUGACCAGGCACUGUACUAGGGACUGAGGAUACAAAAGUGAAAUAAAAUACCAUUGGUAUCUUUAGUGAGUCUACAAGAGCAGUUAUCCUGGAGUUCGAUAGGCACAGUUAUGCAUGCCUACUUGUUGAUCACUCACUGUGCUCUAGGCACUGGGAAUACUGAACUCAGUCCUUGAAAUCCUCUCUGUGUCCCUAGCAGGCCAGAAUUAUGGUCCCUGGGUUGCAAACAAGAAGACUGGGGCUUAGAAGGGUUGCUUAGACGGUGAUCAGAGCUGGCUACCUUACCACCUGACUGUGAUGGGGAGCUCCUCCUCCUCUUCCCCUAGCUGUGAGAAAUGUGUCUAGAUAUAACAGCCUGGGUGCCCUGGGGUCCCUUCUCAUCUCUGUUUAUUUCUUCUCCAUCUGCAGAGGCGGGAGGAGAUUGCAGUGAAGGCGAAUGGAGCUCCUUGGGCUGUGCAGCCAGCUAAGUCAGCUGACCACAGCCGCCCCUAGAGAUUGUUUUUCUACUUUCUCUUGCCCUCUGGCUGUUCCUGUAGCAGCUUCAUCCUUCCGGUUGCAGGUUUUCCUUUCAUUCCUUAGGUAUCCUGUUGCCCUUCCUAGACCUGAGAUGGUGGUGCCAGAGAACUCCGUGAGAUUUAACUCUGUUCCUCACUGUCUUGGCUGACUUCCUUCUGACCAGACAAAGUGAAACUCCAACGUUGCCGGAUGAAUUCCUGUGUGCAGUUCUGACAAGUAACUAACAGAUUGUUGAGAGCAACCUGUGAUUGCAGCCUGGCAGAUGUGUGUGCUGUGGACUCUGAAUUAAAGACAUGGAGUUGACCACAUGGCAGGGGCCCGGGGACACAAGGACAAGGCAGCUUAAGGACUUCCCCAGCAACUCCAGUGCUUUGCAGCCCUGCUCAUAAAGAAGUAGCAGAACUUGACAUUGACUGGGGCAUGGUUUUACUCAGCCAGACUCUUGUGGGCUAGCUGCCCCUUUCUGGAAGCUGUCUAUACCAGCACCGUCCCAAUGAUUACCUUGAACCCUUCUUUGAUUCACUGCUUUUGCAAGAGAGGGGAAAACUCAAACUUCAUAAAAGUUACCAAGUGCUGCCCAGGCCCACAUGUGACACGUUGAUAUUUUGGGGCAAGGUUUGGCCAAACAACAGAACAGCAACAGUGCCUACCAGCACAUUGAAGAUUUAAGAUUGAAAAGCCUGAACAGAAUGUUCGGCUUGAGCUGGGGACAUAUUCCUUUCCUAUUUUAUCUCUGCCAUAAGCCUCGGGCUGAUUGGAAAACACACCCACUGUAUGAUUUGGAUAGCCAGGAUUUUAAGUUUAUUUCUUAGACCUGCUCAUGCACAGUCUCCCUUUCUCCCUCUCUCUCCUGCCUCUUCUUCCUCCCCCUCUCACUCUCUCCCCAACUUUUUGGGGUAGAAUCCUGAAAUCUGCUCUUCAUAUUACUGGUAAGGAAGCACUCUCUCUCUUUAUAGAACAGUGCUAACUUCUCUGACACAGACUCUAGGACCCAAGUGAUUUUUGUAAAUGCAAAUCUAAUAUCGCUCUUCUUUGCUUAAAACCCUUCAUUGAAUUCCUAUUGCUCUGGAAUAAAAUCCAAACCCUUGAGUAUCACCUAUAUCAGCCCCUGUCUAGCUUGCCAGCCUCACCUUUCACCUGUCCUGUCCAUGAUCCCACCCUCCCCAUACUUAUACAUGUACCCUGUGCUCAAACUAAACUUUGAUGGUCAAACAUGCUAUGUUUCUUUACCUCCAUGUGCUUUCCCUUACAAUUGUGUUGUGUUCCAGCAACUCCAUCGAUUUUUUCAUUCAUUCAUUCAUUCACUCAUUCAUUCAGUAAGCACUUACAGAGGACCUUCUGAAGGCCAGGUACUAUUCUAAAUCCUAGCGAUAUAACAGUGUGCAGACAAUGGUAGUAUACAGACUCUACUCUCAAGGACUUUACAGUGCUAACUUGCCAAUCCUAUUUACCUGAGUGGCCUCAGCUCACUUAGAUUUGUUUCUUCUUGGAAUCUCUCCUGACCUCUCUCUUCUGAGUUAGACAUCUUUCCUUUGCUUUCUUCCACCUGUGUUUUUCCCAUUAGAGCACUUAGAACCAGAUGCCAGAAUUUUGAGCCCUUUGAGAGGAGAGGAAAUUUCUUGCCCAAGCUGAUAUGUAGUAGAUGCUCAUUAAAAAUCUGGUGAUCAGAAGCAUUUAGGAUGCAUUUAACACAGAAAACUAUGUUUUCUCUGUAAUCAUUUCAAAUAGAAUUCACACUCUGUCAACAGCUUGGCAGUGGUCUUUGGUCAAUAGGAGGUACUGAUUGUAUAGAUGAAAAGUUUAAUGUUAGUCCCAUGAAUGCACCUUUAGAGGUAAUUUUUUGCCCUGGUUGCUUUUAAAAGUUUCUUUUGUGUUCUGCAGGGUCACGAUAAUGGAUGUAUAUGGGGUUUUUGGUGUGCUUAUUCAUUCUGAUAAUUCAUAUUUUCCUUUCAUUCUGGAAAAUUCCCAGACAUCAUCUCUUUUCUGGAUCCCUUUGAAACUUCCUUAGGAUGUAUGAGUGAUCUCAUUGUCUUGUCUAUUUUGCUUCUCCUUCAUAUCUUUUAUCUCUGUUCAGCAUACCUUUCUGUUCAACAAUCUGGGGAGUUCCCUUGGUUUUUCCUUCAGGUUCACUAAUCUUUUCUGUAAUUUGCCAUUUAAACUGCCCAUUGGACUUUCAAAAUGGUGGUUUAAUAUACAUGCAAUAAUGAAUGUAGUGAUGGUUUUACAUGUAGAGACACUCAGGGUCUGAUCACUCAGAUCAGACAGAGAAUAUCGCUGAACAGAGAACAGCUCACCCAGGCAGUCCCCUCCCAAAUA